AACUCACAAACCUCUUUGUGUUUUUUUCAGGUUUUGAAGAGCGAGCUAUAAGCUAUAUCGUUUUGCUUUGGAAAGACACUGGAUUUAGAACCAGCUGCAGUCCUUUAACAACCUCUCUGACCCUCAUUAUCCAUGUGGCCUUUGGCAACCUCUGUGAGCCUCAGUUUUCUUGUCUUCCCCCGCUAUGGGGAUGUCAGAGGCAACUCCAGGCGGUAACACACUGGAAAAUGCUGCAAGUCCACAGUACUGGGUGGAGAGAAAUUUAUUGUUAUUAUUGUUGUUCUCUUUCACCCCAAAUGGACAGCUUGAUCUUUCCCUUAGGGAAACGCUUUCAAAUAAAGUGAUUAUGUUUUGGAGACCUAGCAAAAUGGAUUUGGAUAACUUCCAUCAGGAGGGAGGAAGAGAGCCGGUGGCCUUUUGUUAUGAGACCACAGGUAACCAAAUGUUUGAAGGAAGGCGCCACGGAAGCCCCCUACCCCGCACACAGCUCUGGU
This 494-nucleotide long non-coding RNA is filed under the name Homo sapiens (human). RNAcentral's name for it is "HSALNT0404191". Lineage: Eukaryota; Metazoa; Chordata; Mammalia; Primates; Hominidae. The record is from RNAcentral.